Molecule: transfer RNA, 112 nt
Organism: Fonsecaea multimorphosa CBS 102226
Lineage: Eukaryota; Fungi; Ascomycota; Eurotiomycetes; Chaetothyriales; Herpotrichiellaceae
Rfam family: tRNA
About the family: Transfer RNA (tRNA) molecules are approximately 80 nucleotides in length. Their secondary structure includes four short double-helical elements and three loops (D, anti-codon, and T loops).
Source: Rfam
GGGGGAUUGGCGCAAUGGUAGCGCGUGGCUCUCCUAUACCUAAUAUCCCUUGAAACCUGUAAAAGGUGCUGGAAAAAAGCCAAGGUUGUGGGUUCGAGUCCCAUGUUCCUCG